AGUAUAUUGAUAUUUUUUUCUAUUUUUUAAAAAUUUUUUAAAAUGAUAAAAAAAUAUGAAUAAGAAAAUUGAAAAAAAAAUAAAAACACAAUUUUAACCUAACAGUCAAAUCGAGCGGUGCAACUCUGGCGCUCUUAUAAUAAUUAAGGCCUAAUUUUUAAUUAUUGAAUUCAGAUGCUGACAUGAAACUUUCUUUUUUGUCAAACUUGCAGAACCCAUACCAAUCUCACAAUAUAAUUUGGCAGGUUUAUUAAUUGGAUUACUGUUCGAUUGGCAUGUGGCAAUCAGUGUAUUAGGUGCUCCAUUUGUGAUUGCAUUUUUUAUAUAUAAAUGGCGAAGGAGGCACUUAUCCAUGUACAAUGAUGUUGAGGAAUUUCUGCAAAGCCAAAAUAACCUCAUGCCAAUAAGGUACUCUUUCUCAGAAAUUAAGAAAAUGACCAAAGGUUUUAGGGAAAGAUUGGGUGAAGGAGGAUUUGGCACAGUAUUUAAAGGAACACUUCGAAGUGAACGUCUUGUAGCAGUAAAGAUGUUAAGCCAAUCCAAAGCAAAUGGGCAAGAUUUUAUCUGUGAAGUAGCAACCAUUGGAAGGAUCCAUCAUGUGAAUAUAGUGCAACUCAUUGGUUUUUGUGUUCAUGGUUCAAAGCGUGCCCUU
Juglans microcarpa x Juglans regia is the source of this 652-nucleotide long non-coding RNA. RefSeq lists it as uncharacterized. The transcript has 3 exons. Lineage: Eukaryota; Viridiplantae; Streptophyta; Magnoliopsida; Fagales; Juglandaceae. The record is from RefSeq and is a predicted model, not a curated record.